AGAGUUUGAUCAUGGCUCAGAAUCAACGCUGGCGGCGUGCCUAACACAUGCAAGUCGAACGCGAGAGGGGCUUCGGCCCCAAUUGAGUGGCGAACGGGUGAGUAACGCGUGGGUGACCUACCUUCGAGUGGGGGAUAACGUCCCGAAAGGGACGCUAAUACCGCAUAACAUCCUGCUCUUGAACGAGCGGAGAUCAAAACCGGGGAUCGUAAGACCUGGCGCUUGAUGAGGGGCCCGCGUCUGAUUAGCUAGUUGGUGAGGUAAUGGCCCACCAAGGCGACGAUCAGUAUCCGGCCUGAGAGGGCGGACGGACACACUGGGACUGAGACACGGCCCAGACUCCUACGGGAGGCAGCAGUGGGGAAUUGUUCGCAAUGGGCGCAAGCCUGACGACGCAACGCCGCGUGGAGGAUGAAGGUCUUCGGAUUGUAAACUCCUGUUGCUCGGGACGAAAAGCUCCGACCUAACACGUCGGAGUCUGACGGUACCGAGUGAGGAAGCCCCGGCUAACUCUGUGCCAGCAGCCGCGGUAAUAC
This 536-nucleotide ribosomal RNA is filed under the name uncultured bacterium. RNAcentral's name for it is "bacterial SSU rRNA". It matches the Rfam family "Bacterial small subunit ribosomal RNA", at positions 8 to 526 of the family's 1533-position model. The record is from RNAcentral.